GGUCGCCUACGGGGCGCAGCAGUAGGGAAUCUUCCACAAUGGACGAAAGUCUGAUGGAGCAACGCCGCGUGAGUGAAGAAGGGUUUCGGCUCGUAAAGCUCUGUUGGUAGUGAAGAAAGAUAGAGGUAGUAACUGGCCUUUAUUUGACGGUAAUUACUUAGAAAGUCACGGCUAACUACGUGCCAGCAGCCGCGGUAAUACGUAGGUGGCAAGCGUUGUCCGGAUUUAUUGGGCGUAAAGCGAGUGCAGGCGGUUCAAUAAAGCUGAUGUGAAAGCCUUCGGCUCAAC
RNAcentral lists this ribosomal RNA (288 nucleotides) under uncultured bacterium. RNAcentral describes it as "partial 16S ribosomal RNA". It matches the Rfam family "Bacterial small subunit ribosomal RNA", at positions 333 to 613 of the family's 1533-position model. The record is from RNAcentral.